Cygnus olor (mute swan) is the source of this 1177-nucleotide long non-coding RNA. RefSeq lists it as uncharacterized. The transcript has 4 exons. The record is from RefSeq and is a predicted model, not a curated record. Lineage: Eukaryota; Metazoa; Chordata; Aves; Anseriformes; Anatidae.
GACUAAUCAGCAGUGAAAGCAAAAGUAACCAUGUCUCAGAAAUUGUGCUCCAGUGGUCAGUGUAUGAUCUUUUGCAGUGAUAGCAGUUUCUCCUCUAAAAUACUGUGAUUUGAGUAUUUGUAUUACAGGAAAACCGAGAUGCGCCAACUAGGAAGGAGUAGUUCAUCAUAUUAGGCACUCUACAAAUGCAAUGCACUGCUGCUCAGGAGGAAGCCUUGAGUCUGUGGCAAUGGAGAGCACUAGAAAAGGGACAGGAGGGAACUCAAAAGAGGCUGGAAGAACCAAGCAGACAGUUUUGAAGGCAGAAAGGUUCCAAAGAAUUAUGCACAAUGGACACACGUUCUUAACUCAGGGACACGUGGCAGCCUACACAUUGAUACAGACAUGAACUAGCGUCAUCCAGAAGCAAUGCUGUUUCUCUCCGUGGCCGUGGGGCUGUUAGGAAGCCUGGCUGGCCACAGGAUCCCUGCCCUGGUCACCUUUCUGUACUCCCAGAAGGGGAACAAUGAAAGGAAAGUUGGCCCAGACAUACUAAUCUGAGUCCUAGGAUGAGGAACAAAUAGCUUGUCAAAUCACAGUAUUAUGAGAGAUAAUGUUUCUGUUACUCAUACAAAGAGUUAGCAAUUACAUUGCAGCUUUAUUUUGGUUAGCUUUUCUUUAAAAUCAAAUGAAUAUCAAUCUACAAUCAAUAAAAAAAGUUGCCUAUAGGCAGUUUUGCCUUCGAAUCUACUUCAUGGAUCACCUGCUAGUAAUUUAUACAGAGUCAAUAAGACACAUUUCAAAAGUGAGGUUUUUCUCCCAAAAGGCAAAACUGCUCUAAUUUACAGCUGGAUAUGAACCGGGCAAACAACAUACACCUGAAGUAAAUGUAAUUUCUAAUUUACAAGCAACUCCAGUGAAAGAUUAUAUCUGAUCUGCUCUCUAUGCAAGUAAUCUAUGGAUAUUUAUAUUAUGAUAACUGGAGAGCAUAAAUUGCUUUUGUUUUUCCUUUUGGGUAUCUCUUUCAUUUGUUUGUUUAGCAAAACCUGCAGGGGAAACGAGAACAGCUAUAAUUACAGUCACAGUUACAAGUUGUGGGGUCUGUAGAUAAUAAGCUACAAGGCAUUUCUAUUGAGCUUUUUUAUUAUUAUUUAGUUAAAGAAUGCUUUUUCCCAAGACAAUCCAUCUGUAUUUUGUA